Molecule: RNase MRP RNA, 242 nt
Filed under: Jatropha curcas
Lineage: Eukaryota; Viridiplantae; Streptophyta; Magnoliopsida; Malpighiales; Euphorbiaceae
Description: RNase MRP
Rfam family: RNase MRP
About the family: RNase MRP is an enzymatically active ribonucleoprotein with two distinct roles in eukaryotes. In mitochondria it plays a direct role in the initiation of mitochondrial DNA replication. In the nucleus it is involved in precursor rRNA processing, where it cleaves the internal transcribed spacer 1 between 18S and 5.8S rRNAs.
Source: Rfam by way of RNAcentral
GCCAUGGAUCGGAGUGAACGGGUGAUUACAGUUGCACCCAGGAAAGUCCCCGGGCCCGAAUGCAGAGAUGCAUCCCUGGAAACAGGAGCCAUUUCGAGUGGAGGUUCACCCGUCUACUGCGGGGAUCUGAGACGUGUGUGGAGAUCCUUUGAACCUUACGCCGAAAUGAUUUGGCCGUCAACUCACAGUUAUUCACUCUGUCCGCAUCGUGGACUAACUGAACGGGGCUUACGAUCUCAUGG